RNAcentral lists this ribosomal RNA (901 nucleotides) under uncultured bacterium. Its description in RNAcentral is "bacterial SSU rRNA". It matches the Rfam family "Bacterial small subunit ribosomal RNA", at positions 505 to 1397 of the family's 1533-position model. The record is from RNAcentral.
GUGCCAGCAGCCGCGGUAAGACGUAGGAUGCAAGCGUUGUCCGGAAUUAUUGGGCGUAAAGAGUUCGUAGGUGGCAUGUUAAGUCUAGUGUUAAAGCCCGAGGCUCAACUUCGGUUCGGCACUGGAUACUGGCAAGCUAGAGUGCGGUAGAGGCAAGGGGAAUUCCUGGUGUAGCGGUGAAAUGCGUAGAUAUCAGGAGGAACACCGGUGGCGUAACGCCUUGCUGGGCCGUAACUGACACUGAGGAACGAAAGCCAGGGUAGCAAAUGGAUUAGAUACCCCAGUAGUCCUGGCCGUAAACGAUGGAUACUAGGUGUUGCGGGUAUCGACCCCUGCAGUGCCGUAGCUAACGCACUAAGUAUCCCGCCUGGGGAGUACGCACGCAAGUGUAAAACUCAAAGGAAUUGACGGGGACCGCACAAGCGGUGGAACAUGUGGUUUAAUUCGAAGCAACGCGAAGAACCUUACCAAGACUUGACAUCCUGAGAACAUUUCCGAAAAGAAGUGGUGCCCUUCGGGGAACUCAGAGACAGGUGGUGCACGGUUGUCGUCAGCUCGUGUCGUGAGAUGUUGGGUUAAGUCCUGCAACGAGCGCAACCCUUGUCGUUAAGUUGCUGCAAAGAGUACACUCUUUGUUAGCUCUCUAACGAGACUGCCGGUGAUAAACCGGAGGAAGGUGAGGAUGACGUCAAAUCAUCAUGCCCCUUAUGUCUUGGGCUACACACGUGUUACAAUGGCAAGGACAACGAGCAGCCAACUCGCGAGAGUGCGCAAAUCUCUUAAAUCUUGCCUCAGUUCGGAUUGUAGUCUGCAACUCGACUACAUGAAGUCGGAAUCACUAGUAAACGCAGAUCAGCACGCUGCGUUGAAUACGUUCCCGGGUCUUGUACACACCGCCCGU